RNAcentral lists this long non-coding RNA (886 nucleotides) under Gossypium raimondii (Peruvian cotton). RNAcentral describes it as "long non-coding RNA (GRAI_LNC004380)". Lineage: Eukaryota; Viridiplantae; Streptophyta; Magnoliopsida; Malvales; Malvaceae. The record is from RNAcentral.
UUUACCAUUAAACUCGCACACUUAGUGCUUUACAAUUAAACUCGCACACUUAGUGCUUUACAAUUAAACUCGCACACUUAGUGCUUCACAAUUAAAUUCGCACACUUAGUGUCGAAAGUCAACAACUCAAUACAUCUUAUUUCAAUAAUUUUAUCACUACAUGUAUAUAUAUAUACCAUUCAAUUCAGCAUAAUUACUCAGAUACUAAGCUGAUUUUAAAACGAUACAAUUAUAUAUGUGCUUAAUAACUUACCUCGGAUGUCGUCGCCUAAUAGAUCGGCUACUCAACUACUUUCGAUUUCCCCCGAUCUAAAUCUGAUUUCUUGGUUUCUUGAUAUAAACAUAUUCAAAUAAAUCUCAUUUAAACAUAUUUUCAUUCAAUUUAGUCUAAGAACACAUAAAUGGGUAAAUAACAUUUUUACCCCUAAUAUUUCCUAUUUUCACAAUUUAGUUCUUACUGCACAAAACACAAAAUACACAAAAUUUGGCCACACUCCCUAAGGGCCGAAUCUUCCUAGUACCCAUAUAAGUCCAUACAUUUCAUUUAUUUCACAUUUUAGUCCUUCAAAAAUUUAUUUUUUGUAAUUUAGCCCUAAUUACUCAAAAUCACCAAAAAAAUCCAAUACAAAACAAAUUAAUCUUUAACAUAUCUUUCAUUUUUUAUCAACAACUAUCAAAAAGCUCAAGCACUCAUCAAUGGUAAAACACAAAAUCAUCAUCAAUUCACAAAAUUAAUACAUGGGUUUUGAAGUAUUCAAAGCAACGAUCACAAAAACGUAAAAGUUAUCAAAAAAUAAAAUCAAACUAACCUUGAAUUGAAAUCUCUAAGAUGCCGAAUGCUAAAGCUUGAAGAACAAAGUUUCUUUCUCUUGUUUUCGGUGGAAAC